This is a long non-coding RNA of Cavia porcellus (domestic guinea pig), 4738 nucleotides long. RefSeq lists it as uncharacterized. The transcript is spliced from 5 exons. The record is from RefSeq and is a predicted model, not a curated record. NCBI's taxonomy places the organism in Eukaryota, Metazoa, Chordata, Mammalia, Rodentia, Caviidae.
AUAGAAACUGUCCCUGUGACGCAUGUGUUAGAAGGCCGAAGACUAACUGGUCUCCACGAGAUUUCAGCGUGGCUCUUUUUAAGUGCUGUCUGAUUGCAUGGGAGAAUAUUUACACCAGCUGACUAGAAGAACUUGGAGCCUAACUCCAGAAGGAGAGGCAAGCAGCCCAAACCCUGGAAUGUUUAUUUGGUGAGCCACUUUUAAAAGGAAUUACCUGAUAACAUUUUGGCAAGCCAGAUGAUGGUCGUUAAAGCUCAGGUACUGGAGACCAAGGACUAGACCUUCCCAGCUGGAUUUCUUCCUUGUUGAAGUUCAGAUAAUUUAAAAUUCUAUGCCUGAUGACCUGAGCAGAACAAAUAGCAUUUAAAAUUUAGUUAAAGACACUGGACUUAAAAUACCAGCUGAUCCAUCCAGAAGCUCAGAAUAUAAACAGAGUAAUCAAGGGACAAGAAAUGCAAGUAGAACCAUCAAGAAGUUCAACUAAGUGGCUAAAGGAACUUUGGUUGGGGGAGUUCCACCCCUGAGGCCAGGAGUUAAAGGACUAGGUCCCAAGCCAAGCCAAUGGGAAGCCUCUUGGAUUCUGCCACCAUGUGGAUUUCACUGACUUCACCACUGGGCCAUAUUCUUGAUAAGUGGGAAAGGUUUGAUUCCGACAGACUAAAACAGAAACAGCUUCCCUACUUAUGCAGUAUGGCUUGGGUUCAUUACAAACCAGGAGGUGGUGAGGGAUGAGUAUGGGAUGGUACUUUAAAUUAUGAGACUAUUUUCCAAUUACAGGCUUUCGACUUAAAACAUGCAAUGUGGAAUGAAAUGCCUUCUGUUCAGGCUUUUGUGACCAUCAAAGGGAAUGCUUGGGAACUGUGGUGCUGAGAGUAUACCUCCCAAGGAAGAGAAAAUACUCUUAAUGACCCCAUCCUGAGACCCCCCACUUUGUCUUUCUUUUAGGGGGCUCCAGGUCUCUGAUCUGUUUGAUGGAACUGAGAGACCCCCUCAAACUGCUCUUUGUAGUCCCCAUGCCAGGAAAUCAAGUCCACCCCUCAGGUGACUCAGGAACUCCUUUAGAGCCCAGUGCCCCAGAGGUGCCUGGCAUUCUUCAGCCCCCUCAUCAUGUUUCUCAGAAAGCUUUAAACCCUGCAGGUCAAAUCCAAAGUGGUACUUCUUACUCACCUAAUCCACAACUUGUCCUGCCCCUAAAAGAAGUCCCAGGGGCAGGAUGGAAUACUCAAGCAUAGGUCUCUUUCAUUUGUAAUUGUCUAGCAGUGCAAAGAAAGACUAGGCCAACAGUCAAAGAACAAUAGCAAGUUUGCAGGGAAUUUCAAACUUUGACCCUUGCUUUUAUCAGAGUGAGACGUCCAGUUCAUCUUAUCCAAUUUCUACACCCAAGAUGAAAGACAAAGAAUCCUACAAGAGGCAAGAAACUAUGCAGUUGACCAACACACUUGGAAAAGGAAAGGAAACCCUCCUGGAUUAGCUAUUCUUCCUCCAACUGAACCAUACUGGGACUCUAAUAUUAGACAUGGAUUAGAAAUGAUGUCCAAAUGUUAGCUGCUCUUAUCAUGGAAAUGAAAAAGUCUAUGAACACUGAUAAAGUAUGUGGGGUCAUAUGGGCCACAGAGGAAACUCCAACUUUCUUCUGUAACUGAUUAAUAGGAUCUUUUAUAAAUUUGAAAAUAUAGAUCCACCCUCCAGGGCAGGGAGAAGCAGUAGUGGGACAUCAUUUCCUCUGUCAACCCCAGAUAUUUUGUGUAAACUACAAAAACCUCAUAUGGAGCCACAGACACCAAUAGCCCAACUGCUGGACAUGACCCUUUCUGUGUGCAACAGUCAGGACCCAGAGGAGAGACAAAAGAAGAAAGCUAGGCUCAUGGCUGUUGCAAUUGGUGAUGCUAUAAACCCAUGCAAGUUGUCUAAGGAAAAACACAGGCACAGCCAGGAAAAGAAUGCCUAAUUUAAGUGCAAAAGGAUUGGACAUUGGGCUCUCCCAAGCCUCUGCCUGUGCCCUAUUGUGUAUGUGAGGCAGCAAAUGUGCCUGAUUCAUGGCAUUGGAGUGACUAUCCCCAGUUUCAGAGAGGGCCUAGGCAGCCAAGACUCUUCACUUCUUGUUCAAAUGAAGAGGCCCAGGGGAACCUGCAGUGCCUCUGUCCAUAGAUAGCACCUUCUCCUCAAAGAACACUAGCUAAUCUCAGACAUCAUGUGUGAGCCAAUUCAACUGCUUAUCAAUGCAGGGUCAGCUUGUUCUGUGUUUACUUCUCUCCCUGGAAAACUCUCCGCUAAAGUCUCCUCACAUCCUACAGCUGUGGUUGGGGUAAAAGGGACCCCUAGUCAGAGAUUCUUUACCCCUCCUCUGACAUGUCACUUUGAAAGUCAAAUGUCUAAUUGUGAGUUUUUAAUUGCUCCUCAGUGUCCUAUUUCCUUGCUAAGAAAAGAUUUACUAACAAAACUGGAAUUGGGUGUGCAAUUCUCAAAGUCUGACUGAGGUCAUAAUGGAUUUUGUGUGUUGGGACUACACCAGGUCUCCCUGAACAAACUAGUCAACAAGCCAGUCCUGCUGCAUGGUAUGAUGGAACACCCGAUGUGGAAAACUAUGCUGUGCCAAUAGUUAUAAGGCUAAAAGUUCCCAGCUGAUUUCCUCACCAAAAACAGUACCCAAUCAGGGAAGAGGCAUGUAAAGCUUUCAGACUCUCAUAGACAAGUUUCUCAAACAUGGCCUUCCGAAGCCUUGUCAGUCCCCUUGCAAUAUUCCCGUUCUUCCUGUGCUAAGACCCUCAGCAGAAUGAUGGACAGUUUAAGACCUCUGCCUCAUUAGCAAAGCUACCAUUUCAGUCUGUCCUCUGGUGGCAGAUCCAUAUACAACUGUUCCUCAAAUUUCAGGGCACACUAACUGAUGCUCAGUCUUAGAUUUAAAGAUGCAUUUUUGUCCAUCUCCCUACAUCCACACUCCCAAUUGCUGCUUGCCUUUGAAUGAGAAAGUCCCAUUUCAAGAGAAAAGCAGCGAUAUAUUUGGACAGUUCUCAAACAAGGGUUUAGAGUCUCAACUUCUUGCUCACACACUAGAGAAAGACUUGAGGAAUUUAAAGCUUAAACAGGGAGUCAUCCUACAGUAUAUAGAUGAUAUUCUAGUUUGCAGCCCAUCUAAGGAACUAUCUAACUCUUAACACUGUACAGACUCUCAACUUUCUACCUAAAAAGGUAUAUAAGAUCUCCAAAGAAAGGACUUAGAUAUUCCUCCAGAAAGCUCAAUAUCUGGGAUCUAUUCUUAUAUCUGGGGAAUGACAGCCAUCUAGGGACCAGAUCCAGGCUAUCUAUUAUCUUGGGCUUCCUGCCACCAAGCAACAGCUUCACUCCUUCCUAGGGAUGGCUUGGUUUGUAGCAGCUGAAUUCCUAAUUGUGGACUAGCUUUCCAGUCCCUUCAGAGUGACACUGGACAUUGCAUUACCUAAUAACCCAGGGAAUGGCAAAACCUUUAGAAUAAGGCAGCCUAAUCUGAUGGAAAGAUAAGAGUCAAUCACACCCUAAAGCAAAACUUUACCAACAUAUGACUGAGUUCUGCCAGUUGCUGCCAGUAGAACUCAUGAUGAUUCAUACCAUGCUCCAAACUGGGAUAAGUUGAUCUAUUUAUGAUGUUAUAUUAGAGGCCAUUUCUAUUCCCUGAUAUGAUAGUAGACCCAAAGACCACAAGGCUCACUAAUCUUGGCCAAAAACAACAGACUAUCCAAAGGUAUAGGAACAGAAUCCUUCCAGAUCCUGGCUGAAGAUGACCACCUACUGUCCAUCCUGGAGGCCAAGCGCUUGUGAAAGCUUGGAAACAGGGGACACCCACUGAUUAAAAUCAAAAUGAAAGGGCCCCUUCUCAGUAAUCCUUGCCACACCCAUUGCAAUUAAGAUGGCAGAUAGAUAUUGACUCAUCUUUCUAAAAUACAGCCAGUCCCAUCUGAAUUGUCUCAACAAGAUCACCCAAAAGGAGAAAGCUACUUGUGAACCUCUGGAAGAGCUGAGAUUUCUCUUCAAAAGUAAGACUCCAGUGCUGCUACAGGAAACAUGGAACUCUGACCUGCUCCCCACUUUUGGACUAAUAGUGAAGUUUUUCCUGUCCAACAGGCAGCUCAAUUGUCCUUGACUCUUUUUUUCAUUGUUUUAUGACAGGGUUUUCUUUCUUCAGUCCAGCCAGAGAGCCACAGAACCCCAAGAUAUUUGGAGAACAUGUGAUCUCUGUAGGGUUUACAGCCUUAUCCAGCUUGAAAAAGCUAUACAAGACAGAGACCUCCACUCCUCAGCACUUCAUAAAAAUUGUGUGUCUCUCAGGAGAAAAUGAAAUGGGCAACUGGGGCAUGGCAAAGCUGGCUGGGGAGGUAGACAUGACCUGUUAACAAGAUCCUGGAACAUGUACGCAGAACAGUUUCCAAGCCUUGCACGUGGACUUAUGAGAAAUCGAGCCAGUUUUCAACAGGGUGGCCUAGAUGGGACAUCAGCCUGAGGCCUGGGAUUCUAGCAUCACCCCUCAGGACCCGUAUAUAGAAGUUCUCAUACGUUUCCCAAAAAUGUGGAUGUCAUAAAGGGCACGGAUGUCAAGAGGAGCCCUCCACUGUGGCUCUCCUGAUGCUAGCCCACCUUGCAUCCUCCAGGGUGUACUUUUAUCUUGCCUUCCUUUUUCAACUUGGUCCAAGAUGACUCUGCAGAGCCAGGUUCUCUUCUAUGCUUCACUUUUACUUUUUCAAAUAAACUUUGCCACUGAUUUUUA